UAAGACGGAGGGUGCAAGCGUUAUUCGGAAUUACUGGGCGUAAAGGGCGCGUAGGCGGCUCCUUAAGUCAGGCGUGAAAGCCCGGGGCUCAACCCCGGAAGUGCGUUUGAAACUGAAGAGCUUGAGUACGGGAGAGGGAAGUGGAAUUCCUGGUGUAGAGGUGAAAUUCGUAGAUAUCAGGAGGAACACCGGUGGCGAAGGCGACUUCCUGGACCGAUACUGACGCUGAGGCGCGAAAGCGUGGGGAGCAAACAGGAUUAGAGACCCUGGUAGUCCACGCCGUAAACGAUGAACACUAGGUGUAGCGGGUAUUGACCCCUGCUGUGCCGUAGCUAACGCAUUAAGUGUUCCGCCUGGGGACUACGGUCGCAAGGCUA
RNAcentral lists this ribosomal RNA (377 nucleotides) under uncultured delta proteobacterium. RNAcentral describes it as "bacterial SSU rRNA". It matches the Rfam family "Bacterial small subunit ribosomal RNA", at positions 521 to 896 of the family's 1533-position model. Lineage: Bacteria; Deltaproteobacteria. The record is from RNAcentral.